GACGAACGCUGGCGGCGUGCUUAACACAUGCAAGUCGAACGGAAAGGCCUGCUUUCCCUUGUGGAUUGCGGGUACUCGAGUGGCGAACGGGUGAGUAACACGUGAGUGAUCUGCCCCCAACUUGGGUAUAAGCCUGGGAAACUGGGUCUAAUUCCCGAGAGGACUGCAGGGUGGUGCCUGUGGUGGAAAACGAUUUUCUAGUGGUUGGGGAUGAGCUCGCGGCCUAUCAGCUUGUUGGUGGGGUAAUGGCCUACCAAGGCGGCGACGGGUAGCCGGCCUGAGAGGGUGGACGGCCACAUUGGGACUGGGAUACGGCCCAGACUCCUACGGGAGGCAGCAGUGGGGAAUAUUGCACAACGGGCGGAAGCCUGAGGCAGCGACGCCGCGUGGGGGAUGACGGCCUUCGGGUCGUAAACUCCUUUCGACCGCGAGGAAGCCACCUGGUUGGAAGGGUGGUGACGGUAGUGGUAGAAGAAGCACCGGCUAACUACGUG
This 494-nucleotide ribosomal RNA is filed under the name uncultured bacterium. RNAcentral's name for it is "partial 16S ribosomal RNA". It matches the Rfam family "Bacterial small subunit ribosomal RNA", at positions 28 to 507 of the family's 1533-position model. The record is from RNAcentral.